Molecule: long non-coding RNA, 627 nt
Filed under: Mytilus galloprovincialis (Mediterranean mussel)
Lineage: Eukaryota; Metazoa; Mollusca; Bivalvia; Mytilida; Mytilidae
Source: RNAcentral
UAAACGACAAAAUAAACACUUAUAAAGAAAUAUAUUUUUGAAAAUUUAAUGCUUCAUGCUCACACCAUUCAACUAAAUGCCAAAAAUCAUGAACUGAAUAAACAGCAAUAUAGUUUAAACCAUGAAAAGAAAAUUCAGAAACAUCGAAAUUACUGUUCUGACAAAAUAAUAGAGCAUCUGUGAAUUCAAAAUUUGAUAAAAAAACAGACAAAACCAUAAGGAGAUUCAAACGUAGGCAUAAUUUAGAAAAUAAAAAUAUCAAUUUAUAAAAAAAGAAAGAAAGUGAGAAAAUGACAUCCACUGAAGAUCUUGAAUUUCUUUUUAUUCUGAAAAAAAUAUAACAGUUAUUAAAAAUUAAAAAGAUUAUACCAUAGGGAACAUGUGUUCUAAGUUUCAAGUGGAUUGGACUUUAACUUUUACAUUUACUCAACCCCUCUUAAAAUUUCUAGACUUAUACUCACUUGUACAGUUUCUCAAAAAAGCAUCACCACCCCACCAGUGACUGGUUGAGAUAGUUGUUUAAAAAAUGUUGAGUAAAAUGUAUAUUUUUUUCUUGUAGGAAAUGUUUUAAAGAAUAAUAUGAUUCAAUUGAAUAAAGAAGUAAAUGAUUCCUACCACAAACAGAAC